ACGCAGGUCGGGGUCCUUCUCAAACUCCCAGGAAGGUAUAAAAUCAGGCUGUGCCACCGUUUCCUGUUGACCAGAGACGAUAUCACACUUUUAUUUCGCUCUCAAUGGGACGAGCACCAUGGAUUUGAUAAUUACUGUGACUCUUUUCUGUUCAGUGCUAAAAGCUGCAGCCGGCUUCAAUAUUGAAUCAGAUUCUUGGAAAACCCUGAAUCAUUCUGAUGAAAGUUUUGGAUACCAGGUGGUGCAAAGACGAUCAGACCUGCUUGUCAGCGCCCCACGACUGCAGUAUGAAAAUGAUAAAACAGGACAGAUAUUUCAGUGCUCAACAGAUCGUUGCCGCCCUCUGUUUACUGCAGAGCGAAGAGCUGCAGUCAACAUGUCCCUUGGUUUGGUGAUGACACUUGAUCCUUCAGCACAAAACACAAUGAUCUGUGGUUCAACCAUUCUUAGUGACUGCACAACUAACACCAGGUACAACAGCUUGUGCUUUGAGAUCGAUUCAAAUAAUGAGCUUGUGAAGUCUUACCUGCCUGCGACUGAAGAGUGUCGAACCCAAGCUGACAUUGCAUUUCUGCUGGAUGGCUCAGGGAGUGUACGUGAUGAUGAUUUCAGCAGAAUGAAAACAUUUGUGAAAAAUAUGAUCAGAACAUUCCUGGGAAGAGAUACACAGUUUGCCAUUACCCAGUUUUCAAGUUCUCCAACAACACAUUACUACUUUAACACUUUUAGAACUUCCAACUGGGAAUCUCAAAUUGACAACAUCCAUCAAUCAGGUGAAGGAACAUAUACAGCUAACGCCAUAAAAAAUGUUGUAGAUGACGUCUUCUCACCACAAAAGGGUUCCAGGUCAAAUGUGAAAAGAAUUUUAAUAGUGAUUACAGAUGGAGAGUCCCAAGAUCGCCAAUACUUACCAACAGUAACACAAUCAGCUGAUCGAAAAAACAUUAUUCGAUUUGUUAUUGGGGUGGGGAACGCAUUCACAAAUACAGGAGCAAAACAAGAGCUCAUAACGAUUGCAUCUCAUCCUGCUGACAAUUUUGUGUUUGAAGUGGGAAGCUUUGAUGCUCUUGACAGAAUACGGGAGACCUUGCAGGCCAAAAUUAAUUCCUUUCAAGUGGGAAGCUUUGGUGCGCUUGACAGAAUAUGGGAGACCUUGCAGGCCAAAAUUAAUUCCAUCGAAGGUUAUUCCAUAGUAGUUGCUAAAACCAACAAUGGUCCACUGACGAUUCUUGGUGCUCCAAGAAAUCAGAACAAAGGAUUUGUUACGACAGUUUUCAAUGAACAACUGAGAGAUGAAAUCAGACCCUUUCAAUCACAGACUGGUGAAUAUUUUGGGGCUGAGGUUUGUGCCAUGGAUGUGGAUAAUGACGGUGUGACUGAUCUAAUCCUCAUAUCCUCUCCGAUGUACAAAGACUCUGAUAGAGAAGGACGAGUUUAUGUCUGUGAAUUAAGUGGUUUGAAUGUGGUUUGUUAUUUUGAUAAUCCAUCACAAAUAACCACACUAAGAGGUGAUGCGUCUGUCAGAGGGAGGUUUGGCUCAUCUCUUGCUGUUCUACCUGAUAUAAAUGCAGACACAUUCAAUGAUUUGGCUGUUGGAGCUCCUUUGGAGAAUGAUGGCCAAGGCAGCAUCUACAUAUUUCAAGGAGAAGGAGGAAGAAAAAUAAAUCCUACUUAUUCACAGAGAAUUGCUGCAUCUGCCGUCCAAUCAGGCCUGAAGUUAUUUGGCAUCUCAAUCAGUCAGUCUUCCUACGAUCAGAGUCGUGAUGGACUUCCUGACUUAGCAGUGGGUUCAAAGGGAAAAGUUGUCAUACUCAGAUCCAGACCAGUUGUAACAGUGACUGCCACUGUGUCGUUCAACCCAAAUCUGAUCCCAACUCAAAACCCAGACUGUUCAAAACCACUGUCAAGCAAGGCUACUGUCUGCUUUACUAUGAGCAAACUGUCUAAUGUGAAUGAAGCUCAAGCACAGGUUAAUUUCACUUUAACGUUGGACGCAAAUCGUAAGAUACCAAACAACCGAGCUGAGAUCAGCAAGGAUGUGAGGCACAAGAGUGGAUCUCUUAAUCUUAAUUUAAAUAGGAAAGAAUGCAUUGAUGUGGACUUUUUUAUUGAGUCUUGUCCAGAAGAUGCUCUCAAUCCACUCAAUAAUGAGCUCAGAUUCACGUUUGAUGGUUUAGUUUCUGGCUCAAACCCUAGACCAAGCCUUUCUCCACAGGUUCAAACCACAACAUUUCAUUAUCUUGGCUUUGAGACCAGAUGAGGAGCUGAUGAAGCGUGUGAAGAUAAUUUGAAGGCAGAAGGCCGACUUUGUAACUGUCUUCAUGUGGCUCUGAAUGUUCAGGCUGGAUUUUUCAUAAUCAAUGACAACAAUGUGAUGAGAGUAAAUGCAGGAGGAGAAGCCGGACCUGAAGGACAAACACUCAGAGAAGGACAAAAUUCCCUCUUAUCUGUUAUCUCCAGCCAGUACAUUUUUAAUGAUCAAUGUUUCUAUGAAAUGUAACUGAUGGCCUUUUAAUUUAUUGAAUGGGCCAAACACAAUGUGUAUUUUCCAAAUCAUUACUUGUUAAUUGCUACCUUGAAAUGCAAACUAUCUGGUAAAAAUGUAGUUUCUCUUUCUAUGAGGAAAGUGUUGAUUAAAACUGCU
RNA transcript from Xiphophorus couchianus (Monterrey platyfish), 2644 nucleotides. It is a transcript of the gene named integrin alpha-X-like, with no coding region annotated. The record is from RefSeq and is a predicted model, not a curated record. Lineage: Eukaryota; Metazoa; Chordata; Actinopteri; Cyprinodontiformes; Poeciliidae. The transcript has 20 exons.